RNAcentral lists this transfer RNA (73 nucleotides) under Leptoxis ampla. RNAcentral describes it as "tRNA-Asn". The record is from RNAcentral. Lineage: Eukaryota; Metazoa; Mollusca; Gastropoda; Pleuroceridae.
CUAAAUGGAGGCCGAUUUAAUAGGUGUCUAGAUGUUAACUAGAAGGUUGUAAUAUCUAAUUUACCCAUUUAGU